GUGCCUGCUUUGGCAGCACAUAUACUAAAAUUGGAAUAAUACAGAGAAGAUUAGCAACGGCCCCUGUGCAAGGAUGACACGCAAAUUCAUGAAGUGUUCCAUAUUUUU
This 108-nucleotide small nuclear RNA is filed under the name Nannospalax galili (Upper Galilee mountains blind mole rat). The record is from RNAcentral. Lineage: Eukaryota; Metazoa; Chordata; Mammalia; Rodentia; Spalacidae.